This 450-nucleotide ribosomal RNA is filed under the name uncultured Glomeromycotina. Its description in RNAcentral is "SSU rRNA". It matches the Rfam family "Eukaryotic small subunit ribosomal RNA", at positions 569 to 1023 of the family's 1831-position model. The record is from RNAcentral. Lineage: Eukaryota; Fungi; Glomeromycota.
AGCAGCCGCGGUAAUUCCAGCUCCAAUAGCGUAUAUUAAAGUUGUUGCAGUUAAAAAGCUCGUAGUUGAAUUUCGGGGUUAGUAGGUUGGUCAUGCCUCUGGUAUGCACUGGCCUCACUGAUUCCUCCUUCCUGAUGAGCCGUAAUGCCAUUAAUUUGGUGUUGCGGGGAAUUUGGACUGUUACUUUGAAAAAAUUAGAGUGUUUAAAGCAAGCUAACGCUUGAAUACAUUAGCAUGGAAUAAUGAAAUAGGACGUUCGAUCCUAUUUUGUUGGUUUCUAGGAUUGACGUAAUGAUUAAUAGGGAUAGUUGGGGGCAUUAGUAUUCAAUUGUCAGAGGUGAAAUUCUUGGAUUUAUUGAAGACUAACUACUGCGAAAGCAUUUGCCAAGGAUGUUUUCAUUAAUCAAGAACGAAAGUUAGGGGAUCGAAGACGAUCAGAUACCGUCGUAG